AUUGAACGCUGGCGGCAGGCCUAACACAUGCAAGUCGAACGGUAGCACAGAGAGCUUGCUCUCGGGUGACGAGUGGCGGACGGGUGAGUAACGUCUGGGAAACUGCCCGAUGGAGGGGGAUAACUACUGGAAACGGUAGCUAAUACCGCAUAACGUCGCAAGACCAAAGUGGGUGACCUUCCGGCCUCACACCAUCGGAUGUGCCCAGAUGGGAUGAGCUAGUAGGUGGGGUAAGGGCUCACCUAGGCGACGAUCCCGAGCUGGUCUGAGAGGAAGACCAGCCACACUGGAACUGAGACACGGCCCAGACUCCUACGGGAGGCAGCAGUGGGGAAUAUUGCACAAUGGACGCAAGCCUGAUUCAGCCAUGCCGCGUGUAUGAAGAAGGCCUUCGGGUUGUAAAGUACUUUCAGCGGGGAGGAAGGCGGUGAAGUUAAUAACUUCACCGAUUGACGUUACCCGCAGAAGAAGCACCGGCUAACUCCGUGCCAGCAGCCGCCGUAA
RNAcentral lists this ribosomal RNA (504 nucleotides) under uncultured bacterium. Its description in RNAcentral is "partial 16S ribosomal RNA". It matches the Rfam family "Bacterial small subunit ribosomal RNA", at positions 29 to 523 of the family's 1533-position model. The record is from RNAcentral.